UUAUAGUUGGCUUUAAUAAUUUUUUGCAUGUAACUUUUUUGAAAAUUAUUGUUUUCUUAAUGAUUAGAUUUUUAUUUUCAGUAAUUGAUUUUAAUUUACAUUAAUUUUUUAAUUUGAUAAAUUUUUAUUAAAACAGGAAAAUGUUAUGCCAGCAUUCGCGGUUAUAUUUCAUGUUUAAGUCAAUUUUUUUUUGGAUUUACAGUUUAUUUAAUAAAAGUUUUUUAAUUUAGGUGAAAUUUAUUAAUUUUAUAUAUAUAUAUUUAUUUGUUUAAUCUAUUUAUUAGACCAGGAUUAGAUACCCUGUUAUUUUAGUUAAUUAAAAAUAUAUUCAGUUAGUAAUUUUUUUAUAAAAUUUAAAAGAUCUGGCGGUUUUUAAAUCUUUUUAGAGGAACCUGUAAUUUAAAUGAUAGUCCACGAUUAAUUUUACCUUAAAUUUAUUGUUUUGUAUAUCUCUGUCGUUGAGUGUAAUGAAAAUUUAUUUUCUUUUUAUAUGUAAAUAUUUAUGUUAGGUCAAGGUGCAAUUAUAUUUAGGUUAUUAUGGGUUACAAUAAUAUUUUUUUUUCGAUAAUUUAAUUUAUAUUAAGUUUAAAUUUGGAUUUAAAAGUAAUUUAUUUUAUUAAAAUUUUUGAAUUAAGCUCUUAUUAAUGUACAUAUCGCCCGUCAUUCCCAUAAAUUGGGACAAGUCGUAACAAAGUAGAUGUACUGGAAAGUGUAUCUAGAA
This 721-nucleotide non-coding RNA is filed under the name Symplana lii. Lineage: Eukaryota; Metazoa; Arthropoda; Insecta; Hemiptera; Lophopidae. The record is from RNAcentral.